CUAGGUCUCAGUAUGAUGCACAUAAGCAUGACCUAAAGGCUGACCUACGUUGUGGCUCACUAACAAAACCACCACCACAACAUCAACAACCAUUCCCACCCCUACCCAACACCACCAUCACCCCUACCCACCAUCACCACCACUAUUACAUCCACAUUAUUAGUACAUUCAAUGUAGGUGUUGUUGUUCGUCUUGUGUGUGUUGCUGCUAGUCUUCUCUAUAAUCCAGACCUUUUUCUUCCACCCUACUACUGGUCCCAUAAAUCUCAGCACAGAGAAAAAUCAGAUCUUGUCCGAGUUCCAGUCAAAGAGUUUUUGGGCUUCUGCUAGUACCCAAAUUUGAUAAAUCCUAUUCGAAGAGAAAUUUAUGUUCGUUGUAGGAAUUCAAGUUUUGGGUAUAAGCAAUAAAAUGAUAAAUUGCGUGAUUCAAAGAUAAAUUCAUGCUCGUUGUAGGAAUUCAAGAUUUGGGUAUAAGCAAUUUUUUAUUUCUCCAUAAAAAUUGCUUCUUUUUUUUUGGCAAUAAAAUAUAAAUAUUACCAUUACUAAACAAAUUUGCAUACAACUAAAGAGAACAUGAUCCACAUAUCUCAAGCACAGAUAGAUAGAAUCAAGCCUCAGGAGAUUACCACACUCUAUUUAUAAAGCCUAUACACUUCUUAGCAAACUUGGUCUCUCUGUACAUCCUAAUCCUUUCUCGCACAACUUCUUGUAUUUGCUGUAUAAUGAACUCUAUGUUUACACGAAGACUUCUAAAAUUCUUCUCAUUCCUAGUUAGCCACAAAUAUGUACCAUUGCUCCGAAGACAACUGCGACAGUUUUCUUCUUAAACUUGUUCCACCGCUUCUUCCUUAUCAACUGGAUGGCUUGCUGCACACUGUGAUUGUGCACUUUGAUCCCUAGCCAACUUGUUAAUUUGUCCUAUACUGUGAUUUCUAUCAUAUAAUUGCAGAAUAAAUCUUUGGUAUCCUCUAUCUGUUGUUAUUCACAAAGCACAUAUUCUGUACUAUCUAGGUUGAUACCAAGCCUUUGUAGUCUCACUUUAGUAAGGAGUUUAUCUUUUAUUGCCAGCCACAUAAUGAAUCUGUGUUUAUGUAGUAAUAUCUUACUCCAGAUCAAUUCUGAGCCCCUCCACACAUUCCUCUCGCCCAUAAGCUUUGCGUAUCCUGUUGAGAUGGAGUACUGCCCAGAUUCGGUUAGCUUGUAUUUAUCCUGGUUGUACCAUGUUCGUAUCACAAGCUUCAUCUUAUUCAAUUGCUUCCAGUACCAACUACAUUCUCGGGGGGCCGUGUGUUUCCAAAAGGACUCUCCCUCUUUCAUAUAGAUGCUACUCACCCAUUGAACCUAUAAUGCUUCCUUAUUUUGGUGCAGCCACCAGAACAAUUUUCUCACUGCUGCAAUGUUCCAGAUUUUACAACUUUUGAUAUUUAGGUCACCUUGGAUUUUUGAACAGCAUAUUGUGUCCCACUUAACUAGAGAGACUUUCCUUUUAUCAUCAUUCCCACCCCAAAGGAAUUUUCUACUUUAGCCUCCACUAUCUUGACCACAGUCUGAGGAAGGAUCAUUGUUGAACUCUAAAAGUUUUGUAAGGAAAAUACGAUUGAGUUUAGAAUUUACAACCUGCCAGCAUAUGAUAAAUGUCUAUUGGGAGUAGCUUGUAAUUUCUAUGCAAUCUUGUUACUUAACUGAUGACAGUCGAUCUUGGUGUAUUUCUUAUAGGAGAGAGGCAUUCCAAGAUAUCUAAUAGGAAGCUUUCCUAUUUGAAACCUCGUAGUCUGCAGAAUUUUCUGUUGAACUUCAAUGGUUACUCUAUCUAA
Long non-coding RNA from Capsicum annuum, 1813 nucleotides. RefSeq lists it as uncharacterized. The record is from RefSeq and is a predicted model, not a curated record. Lineage: Eukaryota; Viridiplantae; Streptophyta; Magnoliopsida; Solanales; Solanaceae. The transcript is spliced from 2 exons.